UACGUAGGGGGCAAGCGUUGUCCGGAAUCAUUGGGCGUAAAGAGCGUGUAGGCGGCCCGGUAAGUCCGCUGUGAAAGUCCAGGGCUCAACCCUGGAAUGCCGGUGGAAACUGUCGGGCUAGAGUCCGGAAGAGGCGAGUGGAAUUCCUGGUGUAGCGGUGAAAUGCGCAGAUAUCGGGAGGAACACCUAUGGCGAAAGCAGGCUUCUGGGCUAUCACUGACGCUGAUCUGCGAAAGCUAGGGGAGCAAACAGG
RNAcentral lists this ribosomal RNA (253 nucleotides) under uncultured bacterium. Its description in RNAcentral is "partial 16S ribosomal RNA". It matches the Rfam family "Bacterial small subunit ribosomal RNA", at positions 524 to 776 of the family's 1533-position model. The record is from RNAcentral.